Molecule: microRNA precursor, 99 nt
Filed under: Marmota monax (woodchuck)
Lineage: Eukaryota; Metazoa; Chordata; Mammalia; Rodentia; Sciuridae
Source: RNAcentral
AGUGAAAUUGCUAGGUCAUUGAUAACUGUUUAACUAUUUGAUGAAUUACCAGACUCUUUUCCAAUAACGGCUAUGUCAUUUUGCCCUCCCUCCAGCAAU